UACGAAGGGGGCUAGCGCUGCUCGGAAUCACUGGGCGUAAAGCGCACGUAGGCGGACUCUUAAGUCGAACGUGAAAUCCCCGGGCUCAACCCGGGAACUGCGUCCAAUACUGGCAGGCUUGAAUCCGGGAGAGGGAUGCGGAAUCCAGGUGUAGCGGUGAAAUGCGCAGAUAUCAGGAGGAACACCGGUGGCGAAGGCGGCGACCUGGUCCAUUACUGACGCUGAGGCGCGACAGCGUGGGGAGCAAACAGG
This 252-nucleotide ribosomal RNA is filed under the name uncultured bacterium. Its description in RNAcentral is "partial 16S ribosomal RNA". It matches the Rfam family "Bacterial small subunit ribosomal RNA", at positions 524 to 776 of the family's 1533-position model. The record is from RNAcentral.